GAGUUUGAUCCUGGCUCAGAUUGAACGCUGGCGGCAUGCCUUACACAUGCAAGUCGAACGGCAGCGCGGGAGCAAUCCUGGCGGCGAGUGGCGAACGGGUGAGUAAUACAUCGGAACGUGCCCAAUCGUGGGGGAUAACGCAGCGAAAGCUGUGCUAAUACCGCAUACGAUCUACGGAUGAAAGCAGGGGAUCGCAAGACCUUGCGCGAAUGGAGCGGCCGAUGGCAGAUUAGGUAGUUGGUGAGGUAAAGGCUCACCAAGCCUUCGAUCUGUAGCUGGUCUGAGAGGACGACCAGCCACACUGGGACUGAGACACGGCCCAGACUCCUACGGGAGGCAGCAGUGGGGAAUUUUGGACAAUGGGCGAAAGCCUGAUCCAGCCAUGCCGCGUGCAGGAUGAAGGCCUUCGGGUUGUAAACUGCUUUUGUACGGAACGAAACGGUCUUCUCUAAUAAAGAGGGCUAAUGACGGUACCGUAAGAAUAAGCACCGGCUAACUACGUGCCAGCAGCCGCGGUAAUACGUAGGGUGCAAGCGUUAAUCGGAAUUACUGGGCGUAAAGCGUGCGCAGGCGGUUAUGUAAGACAGUUGUGAAAUCCCCGGGCUCAACCUGGGAACUGCAUCUGUGACUGCAUAGCUAGAGUACGGUAGAGGGGGAUGGAAUUCCGCGUGUAGCAGUGAAAUGCGUAGAUAUGCGGAGGAACACCGAUGGCGAAGGCAAUCCCCUGGACCUGUACUGACGCUCAUGCACGAAAGCGUGGGGAGCAAACAGGAUUAGAUACC
RNAcentral lists this ribosomal RNA (782 nucleotides) under uncultured eubacterium WD250. Its description in RNAcentral is "bacterial SSU rRNA". It matches the Rfam family "Bacterial small subunit ribosomal RNA", at positions 9 to 786 of the family's 1533-position model. The record is from RNAcentral.